RNAcentral lists this transfer RNA (67 nucleotides) under Ictidomys tridecemlineatus (thirteen-lined ground squirrel). Its description in RNAcentral is "Spermophilus tridecemlineatus (thirteen-lined ground squirrel) tRNA". It matches the Rfam family "tRNA". From Rfam's summary of the family: Transfer RNA (tRNA) molecules are approximately 80 nucleotides in length. Their secondary structure includes four short double-helical elements and three loops (D, anti-codon, and T loops). The record is from Rfam by way of RNAcentral. Lineage: Eukaryota; Metazoa; Chordata; Mammalia; Rodentia; Sciuridae.
GGAGUUGUAGCUCAGUUGUAGAGCACUUGCCUCAUACGCGUGAGGCAGAGUUCGAUUCCCAGCACCA